RNAcentral lists this ribosomal RNA (865 nucleotides) under uncultured bacterium. RNAcentral describes it as "bacterial SSU rRNA". It matches the Rfam family "Bacterial small subunit ribosomal RNA", at positions 57 to 918 of the family's 1533-position model. The record is from RNAcentral.
GCAAGUCGAGCGGUAACAGGGGGUGCUUGCACCCCGCUGACGAGCGGCGGACGGGUGAGUAAUGCUUAGGAAUCUGCCCAGUAGUGGGGGACAACAGUCGGAAACGGCUGCUAAUACCGCAUACGCCCUACGGGGGAAAGCAGGGGAUCUUCGGACCUUGCGCUAUUGGAUGAGCCUAAGUCGGAUUAGCUAGUUGGUAGGGUAAAGGCCUACCAAGGCGACGAUCCGUAGCUGGUCUGAGAGGAUGAUCAGCCACAUCGGGACUGAGACACGGCCCGAACUCCUACGGGAGGCAGCAGUGGGGAAUAUUGGACAAUGGGGGCAACCCUGAUCCAGCCAUCCCGUGUGUGCGAUGAAGGCCUUCGGGUUGUAAAGCACUUUUGGCAGGGAAGAAACAGCCUGGGCUAAUACCCUGGGUCAAUGACGGUACCUGCAGAAUAAGCACCGGCUAACUACGUGCCAGCAGCCGCGGUAAUACGUAGGGUGCAAGCGUUAAUCGGAAUUACUGGGCGUAAAGCGUGCGCAGGCGGUUCGGAAAGAAAGGUGUGAAAUCCCAGGGCUUAACCUUGGAACUGCACUUUUAACUACCGGGCUAGAGUACGUCAGAGGGGGGUAGAAUUCCACGUGUAGCAGUGAAAUGCGUAGAGAUGUGGAGGAAUACCGACGGCGAAGGCAGCCCCUGGGAUGAUACUGACGCUCAUGCACGAAAGCGUGGGGAGCAAACAGGAUUAGAUACCCUGGUAGUCCACGCCCUAAACGAUGUCAACUAGCUGUUGGGGUUUAUUAACCUUAGUAGCGCAGCUAACGCGUGAAGUUGACCGCCUGGGGAGUACGGUCGCAGAUUACACUCAAGGAAUUGACGGAA